AGGCUGCAACUCGCCUGCGUCAAGUUGGAAUUGCUAGUAAUCGCGGAUCAGCAUGCCGCGGUGAAUACGUUCCCGGGCCUUGUACACACCGCCCGUCACACCAUGAGAGUCGGGAACACCCGAAGUCCGUAGUCUAACCGCAAGGAGGGCGCGGCCGAAGGUGGGUUCGAUAAUUGGGGUGAAGUCGUAACAAGGUAAC
RNAcentral lists this ribosomal RNA (199 nucleotides) under uncultured bacterium. RNAcentral's name for it is "partial 16S ribosomal RNA". It matches the Rfam family "Bacterial small subunit ribosomal RNA", at positions 1302 to 1500 of the family's 1533-position model. The record is from RNAcentral.